AACGAACGCUGGCGGCAUGCCUAACACAUGCAAGUCGAACGAGAUCCUUCGGGGUCUAGUGGCGCACGGGUGCGUAACGCGUGGGAAUCUGCCCUUAGGUUCGGAAUAACAGUUAGAAAUGACUGCUAAUACCGGAUGAUGACGUUAAGUCCAAAGAUUUAUCGCCUGAGGAUGAGCCCGCGUAGGAUUAGCUAGUUGGUGUGGUAAAGGCGCACCAAGGCGACGAUCCUUAGCUGGUCUGAGAGGAUGAUCAGCAACACUGGGACUGAGACACGGCCCAGACUCCUACGGGAGGCAGCAGUGGGGAAUAUUGGACAAUGGGCGCAAGCCUGAUCCAGCAAUGCCGCGUGAGUGAUGAAGGACUUAGGGUUGUAAAGCUCUUUUACCCGGGAUGAUAAUGACAGUACCGGGAGAAUAAGCCCCGGCUAACUCCGUG
This 436-nucleotide ribosomal RNA is filed under the name uncultured bacterium. Its description in RNAcentral is "partial 16S ribosomal RNA". It matches the Rfam family "Bacterial small subunit ribosomal RNA", at positions 29 to 507 of the family's 1533-position model. The record is from RNAcentral.